Molecule: ribosomal RNA, 459 nt
Filed under: uncultured bacterium
Lineage: Bacteria
Description: bacterial SSU rRNA
Rfam family: Bacterial small subunit ribosomal RNA
Source: RNAcentral
CGCAGCGACGCCGCGUGAGGGAUGAAGGUUCUCGUAAUCGUAAACCUCUGUCAGGAAGGAUUAAAUGUGCGAAUGCUAAUAUCAUUCGUACUUGACUUAACUUCCAAAGGAAGCCCCGGCUAAAUACGUGCCAGCAGCCGCGGUAAUACGUAUGGGGCAAGCGUUACUCGGAUUUAUUGGGCGUAAAGCGAGUGUAGGCGGUUAAAUAAGUCAGUGGUGAAAUCCCUCAGCUCAACUGAGGAAUUGCCUUUGAUACUGUUCAACUUGAGGACAGGAGAGGAAAGUGGAAUUCCCGGUGUAGCGGUGGAAUGCGUAGAUAUCGGGAAGAACACCAGGGGCGAAGGCGGCUUUCUGGACUGUUCCUGACGCUGAGACUCGAAAGCUAGGGGAGCAAACAGGAUUAGAUACCCUGGUAGUCCUAGCUGUAAACGAUGGAUACUAGAUUUUGCAAGUUAUUGC